RNAcentral lists this ribosomal RNA (494 nucleotides) under uncultured bacterium. Its description in RNAcentral is "bacterial SSU rRNA". It matches the Rfam family "Bacterial small subunit ribosomal RNA", at positions 903 to 1397 of the family's 1533-position model. The record is from RNAcentral.
AAAGGAAUAGACGGGGACCCGCACAAGCAGCGGAGCAUGUGGUUUAAUUCGAAGCAACGCGAAGAACCUUACCAGAGCUUGACAUCCCUCUGAAAGGCCCUUAAUCGGGCCCGGCCUUCGGGACAGAGGAGACAGGUGGUGCAUGGUUGUCGUCAGCUCGUGUCGUGAGAUGUUGGGUUAAGUCCCGCAACGAGCGCAACCCUUGUCAUUAGUUGCCAUCAGGUAAAGCUGGGAACUCUAAUGAGACCGCCGGGGAUAACUCGGAGGAAGGUGGGGAUGACGUCAAAUCAUCAUGCCCCUUAUGUUCUGGGCUACACACGUGCUACAAUGGCCGGUACAAAGAGAAGCGAACCUGCGAAGGGGAGCAAAACUUCAAAACCGGUCCCAGUUCGGAUUGCAGGCUGAAACCCGCCUGCAUGAAGUCGGAGUUGCUAGUAAUCGUGAAUCAGAAUGUCACGGUGAAUGCGUUCCCGGGUCUUGUACACACCGCCCGU